RNAcentral lists this ribosomal RNA (448 nucleotides) under uncultured bacterium. Its description in RNAcentral is "bacterial SSU rRNA". It matches the Rfam family "Bacterial small subunit ribosomal RNA", at positions 354 to 796 of the family's 1533-position model. The record is from RNAcentral.
GUCGGGAAUUUUGGGCAAUGGGCGAAAGCCUGACCCAGCAACGCCGCGUGAAGGAUGAAAUCCCUCGGGAUGUAAACUUCGCAAGAACAGGAAGAAUAAGUAAGGGUUAAUAUCUCUUACGAUGACGGUACUGUUUGUAAGCUCCGGCUAACUCCGUGCCAGCAGCCGCGGUAAUACGGGGGGAGCAAGCGUUGUUCGGAUUUACUGGGCGUAAAGGGCGCGUAGGCGGCCACUGCAAGUCGGUUGUGAAAUCUCCGGGCUUAACCCGGAAAGGUCAAUCGAUACUGCAGGGCUAGAGUGCAGAAGGGGCAACUGGAAUUCUCGGUGUAGCGGUGAAAUGCGUAGAUAUCGAGAGGAACACCUGCGGCGAAGGCGGGUUGCUGGGCUGACACUGACGCUGAAGCGCGAAAGCUAGGGGAGCGAACGGGAUUAGAUACCCGUGUAGUCC